This 488-nucleotide ribosomal RNA is filed under the name uncultured bacterium. RNAcentral's name for it is "bacterial SSU rRNA". It matches the Rfam family "Bacterial small subunit ribosomal RNA", at positions 37 to 518 of the family's 1533-position model. The record is from RNAcentral.
UGGCGGCGUGCCUAACACAUGCAAGUCGAGCGGAGAUGAUGUGAGGAAGUUUUCGGAUGGAAUCACAUUAUUUAGCGGCGGACGGGUGAGUAACGCGUGAGCGACCAACCUUGCACAGGGGGAUAACGGACCGAAAGGUUCACUAAUACCGCAUGAGACCACGGUGUUGCAUGACACAGGGGUCAAAGGAGCAAUCCGGUGCAAGACGGGCUCGCGUCCGAUUAGGUAGUUGGUGGGGUAAUGGCCCACCAAGCCUAUGAUCGGUAGCCGACCUGAGAGGGUGAUCGGCCACAUUGGAACUGAGAUACGGUCCAAACUCCUACGGGAGGCAGCAGUGGGGAAUAUUGGGCAAUGGGGGGAAAAACCCCCUGACCCAGCAACGCCGCGUGAAGGAAGAAGGUUUUCGGAUUGUAAACUUCUGUCCUUGGUGAAGAGAAGAAGACGGUAGCCAAGGAGGAAGCCCCGGCUAACUACGUGCCAGCAGCUGC